GAUUUCUGGUAUGGUGCGCCUGGCCCACGGUUGCAAAACCGCGAGUGUCGGUGUGCGCCUGCCAUCUUUCUAGUUAACUGGACGCACUUAACUGGGCGGUCAGCGAUCUAGUUCUUUUACUUUGAAAAAAUUAGAGUGUUUAAAGCAGGCUUGCGCUAUGAAUACAUUAGCAUGGAAUAAUAAUUUAGGACUUUUCUCCUAUUUUAUUGGUUUCUAGGAGUGAAGUAAUGAUUGAUAGGGAUAGUUGGGGGUGCUAGUAUUCAGUGGCCAGAGGUGAAAUUCUUGGAUUCACUGAAGACUAACUACUGCGAAAGCAUU
Molecule: ribosomal RNA, 318 nt
Filed under: uncultured Paracercomonas
Lineage: Eukaryota; Cercozoa; Cercomonadida; Cercomonadidae
Description: SSU rRNA
Rfam family: Eukaryotic small subunit ribosomal RNA (bases 101-318)
Source: RNAcentral